GAUGAAGAACGUAGCGAAAUGCGAUAAGUAAUGUGAAUUGCAGAAUUCAGUGAAUCAUCGAAUCUUUGAACGCACAUUGCGCCCGACAGUAUUCUGGCGGGCAUGCCUGUCCGAGCGUCAUUUCAACCCUCGAACCCCUCCGGGGGGUCGGCGUUGGGGACCUCGGGAGCCCCUAAGACGGGAUCCCGGCCCCGAAAUACAGUGGCGGUCUCGCCGCAGCCUCUCCUGCGCAGUAGUUUGCACAACUCGCACCGGGAGCGCGGCGCGUCCACGUCCGUAAAACACCCAACUUCUGAAAUGUUGACCUCGGAUCAGGUAGGAAUACCCGCUGAACUUAAGCAUAUCAAUAAGCGGAGGA
RNAcentral lists this unclassified non-coding RNA (358 nucleotides) under soil metagenome. RNAcentral describes it as "partial contains 5.8S ribosomal RNA, internal transcribed spacer 2, and large subunit ribosomal RNA". The stretch from base 1 to 120 matches the Rfam family "5.8S ribosomal RNA", at positions 35 to 154 of the family's 154-position model. The record is from RNAcentral.